RNAcentral lists this long non-coding RNA (4673 nucleotides) under Citrus sinensis (sweet orange). RNAcentral describes it as "long non-coding RNA (CSIN_LNC001680)". Lineage: Eukaryota; Viridiplantae; Streptophyta; Magnoliopsida; Sapindales; Rutaceae. The record is from RNAcentral.
CACCAUCUGGUCUACAAACGUAUCUAGCCAAGUGAAAAAUCCAGUGGCAAAACUCUUAGAUAAUGGAAACCUCGUUAUUACGGAUAACUCCAGCAGUCAUACUACUGAAAGCUACUUGUGGCAGAGCUUCGACUACUUAACAGACACUCUGUUACCAGACAUGAAGUUGGGCUGGGACUUGAAGACUGGUCUGAAACGAUAUUUAUCAUCAUGGGAAAGUGCUGACGAUCCAUCCCCUGGGAAGUUUACCUUCGGACUUGACAUUCAGGUGUCGCCUAAAUUAUGUACGUUCAAUGGUUCUGCAAAAUAUUCCUGUACCGGACAAUGGAAUGGAGCUGCCUUUGUAGCUGCUCCAUAUUCAAACUUUCUUUAUGAUCAAGUUUUGGUGGAAAAUAAAGAUGAAAUUUCUUUCAGGUAUGAGUCCUAUAACAGUCCAAACAUAAUGAUCUUAACAGUCAACCCCUCGGGUCUGCUCACGCGUCUAAUAUGGAACGAGAGGAGCACUGCGUGGGACCUUGUUUUCUCAGUUCCAGAUGGAUAUUGUGGUAAUUAUGGGCAUUGUGGUCCCAACAGUAUUUGCAGCCUGGACCAGACACCUAUCUGUCAGUGUUUGAGGGGAUUCAAACUCAAAUCACAAAACAACCAGACUUGGCCCAGAAAAUGUGAAAGAUCUUCAGAUUGCAAAAGUGGAGACCAGUUUAUAAAGCUUGAUGACUUUAAAGCGCCUGAUUUGCUAGAGGUUUCCACAUUCAAAAGUAUUAAGCCAAUCAACAAACUCUUCUGGUUGCAUUCUUUCUUCAAAUUCAGGAAUUUCGACCUUGAAGUCGAAAGGCUGAUAAGAAUCGCGACGCCUAUGAAUUCGAGAACGAGAAGAAAAUUCACUAUUGGAGCUUUGUUCCUGAUGGAAGGGAUUAUAAUCUACCCCGUCAUUGAUUGAGCCUUCUUCUUCCGAACUACCAUUAGGAGCAGCUUCUCGAGUUCCUUCAAGGUGUUGUAAUCGUUGCUGAAGAUGUUCUACUUGUCUUCUAAGAUCAUCCCUUUCUAUAUCACCCAAGUCCCUCUCACGAACAGGAGGCUCUGCAACUCUUGCAUUACGCCGACGUCGUUGAGCCAUAAAUUUUCAGAACCCAAUGCUCUGAUACCAAAUUUGACACCGGACACAAUAGAUGAGAAAGCACAACGUCAUACACUCAAGAAAUCACAAGCUCACCACCACAGCAAACAACAAAAAGAUACAGAAAAAUAUUCACCACCUAAAGUUGUUAAGCUACGCAUACAGAGCUUAAAACACUCACCACUCAAUGGAAUCCACCAAAGAGAUACAGAGUUUGAUAAUAGCUCAAAGUUCAUUCAAUUUCCAAAAUUAAUCUCUUCCCUUUUGUUACAACUACAUAAGCUUAAAUAACUUUCUUGGAAUAAUCCUCCAAGCAUAGAUUUACUACAAAGAAACCCUUCAAAUAACUUGACUUUAAAGACCAACAUUAAAGCUAGACAUUAAUAAAACAUUGGUAUGCUUAAAACACAACAAAGAAACCCUUCAAAUAACUUGACUUUAAAGACCAACAUUAAAGCUAGACAUUAAUAAAACAUUAGUAUGCUUAAAAUACAACAAAGAACAUUAAAAAAAAUCUAAGUCCCGAAAUAUUCUUCUUGACUCAAAACUGAACAGUCUGCACUUAACUGAUCAUAACUUACUGUAAAAAACUCCAAAUUUAGAUUAGUAAAAUUCAUUGGAAAGCUAACAGAAAUAUCUUUCCAAUGAUGUAUGGCUCGAAAAUUAAUUCGAUCUCAUGCAGUACAGUUUAAUUCCCAAAGAUGCUUGGUAUAACUAUAUUUCAAACACUCCUGUGUUAUGCUUCCUCAUGGAAGGAAUUGGGCUGGCAUAAACGGCCGUGAUUGAAGAAAUAAUUCCACCAUUGUCAGAAACCCGAAAGUGAAUAAACUGACGAUGGUUCACUGUAACCUCCACAGCAAACUCCUCUUUCCAAAGAAGCCAGAUUCCUCCCGAAAAACCCACAGCUUCCACUCUGUGAGAUCUUGCAAAGCCACUACUCCUGAUAAAAUUAUCAGCCCUGAUUCUACUUACUCUGGGCUCCAAAAUUGCAACCAUAGUGGGAUUAUAAUUCUUAACAAAGCCCUUGAAAGUUCAACGAAAUCCCUUUGAUGAAACUCCCUGACAAUUCCAAAACAUAAUAGAGAACAACAUUAAAAAUAAUGAAAAAAUAUGGAGAAAAAUCCCUUACACCUCAGGCACAAAGUCCUGGUGUUCUAAAGCCAGCUGAGGUUCAUCUUCUAAGGAUCCCGCAAACUCCGAAUCCUCUGAUUCCUCAUCUCCGCUAUCUCCUACGUAGUCACUAUCUUCUGGAUCAUCCGUCAAAUUAUCCAUAUCCCAUGCUUUCAUGUCCGCAGGAUCCCCCAUAGGUUGACCAUCAAGCUUCUCAUAUAUUCCACCUUGACCAAGGAAUAAAGGGUUGGGAGUAGUUGCAAAAACAUUUUGAGUACUGCUGCUAGGUAUCUGCUCCAGGGUCACAACAGAAUGCUUUGUAGGGUCAAGGGUUGUGGAGGCAUUGGUUUUGUUAAAAGGUUUGGGCAUGGCUACUUUAUAUUCACGUAGGGGGCGGUAAGUGUGCAUGGAGUUUGACGUGGAAGGUUCUGUUAUAAAAGAUUUGGAUAGUUUGGGCUUCAUGCUUUUUCCAACACGUGAUGAAGGCUUAAGAAAUAGUGCAACUGUGGUAGUUCUAUUGGUGGGACGUGGAUGCUUUUUAUUUGGUAAUUUACUAAUUACUUUGGCAUGUUGUUAAAUUUUGCUAGCUGGCCCCUUUAUUGGUAAAUCAAGCACAUGGGUUUCCUCAGUUGACUUUGUGCCCCUUUCCAUCAUAUCCUCGUUUGCGAACCUCCAUCAAACCUCCCAUUUUGGUUUUGACUUGACUCCUUAAUGAUUUCUCUUUCCUUAUAGCUCUUAACUUUUCCUUUUCGAGAUACCAUCAUCCACGGUCCAAACUUAGGGUUACCUGAUCUAUCUGUCUUGGGUGGUGGAGCCGCCCUAGGGCUGAUCGUAGACUCAGCUUGCACAUUCACAACCCCAUGACUAUCUUCCUCGUUGUUUGUUCUUUCCGGGCAUGUAAUACUUAAGUGACCAUAUUUACCACAUUCAUAACAAAUCAGGGGGAGAUUUUCAUAUUCAACCUUCUGAAAUUUGCCAUCAAGCAAAAACUGGGAACAAAGAGGUUUAGCCAAAUCCAACUCCACCGCUAUGCGAGCAAAUUUGCCUCUGCACGCAGACUCGGUGUUGUAAUCAAUUUUUAUAACCUUCCCAAUUACUUGCCCGAGCAUUCGAAGAAUUCUCUUGUGGUAGUAAUGGAGAGGCAUUCCUGGAAGACGGAUCCAUGCAACAACUGAAUCAAUGGUUUCCGUAGAGCAAUCAAACCUAGGAGACCAUUGUUGAACAGUCAAGUAGUGCCCCAAUAUAGACCAAGGUCCUUGUGUGAGAGCAUAUUGGGCAUCAUCCUCCGUUUUAAACUUAACCAAGAAAAAAUCAUUCCCAAGGUCAAUCACUGUAAAACCCUGGGAUCCGCUCCAUAAGGACUCCAAACGGUUGCACAAGACCUUGUAGCCAAUCGUUCUUCCGAGAAGCUUGAUAACCACAGCUGUCCUCCACGGUUUCACGAGCUGUGCAUGAACUUUCUGUGAGAAUGAGAUCGAAGGCAGAUGUCCUUCCGUUUCUAUCACUACAUCCUCCAAGUCAAACACCAGAUCAUCCUCCUUCCCCAUGAGAUCCUCCUCCAUAGUGUCAUGUGUUUCCAUCAACUUGUCUUUGAAGGAUACCAUUGGAGGAUUAUCCUCAUCGUCUCCUUCAACCCUAAACUUUGCCUUUUUGGUAGACCGGUCAUCCUCCAAAGGAGGAGGGUCCUUUUUCGCCAGUUCGGAAACGCUCUCCAUUUUAAACACAAACGUAUUUUUCCACCCAUACUUAGCGUUUUGGAAAGUUUACAAGACUUCAAAAGUUAACAUCAUGAGAAUUGAGGUCAAGAAACAGACUUCUCUGUUUCACAGUUGACCGAGACUUUUGGUUUUCAUAAAUUGAAAUGAACCCGAUCUCAAAACAAUUAUUAGAGAUUUUUCUUCUCUGUUUAAUGAAUGGAGAAUCGUCCAUGCUUCAACAUCUUUCGUUCUUUGAUCUUCUUGUUGGGCAUAAAGGUUUCAUUAGCAGCUGACACACUAACCCCAGCAUCAUUCAUCCGUGACGGCGAGAAAUUAGUUUCAUCUUCUCAAAGGUUUGAGCUAGGCUUUUUCUCCCCUGGCAAAUCAAAGAACAGGUACGUGGGACUAUGGUACCAGAAGAUCCCUGAUACGGUUUUCUGGGUUGCCAAUAGAAAUAGUCCUAUCUCCGAUCAUAACGCAGUAUUAACCAUUGGCAACAAUGGAAAUCUCGUUCUUCUCAACCAAACAAACGGCACUAUCUGGUCUACAAACGUAUCUAGACAAGUGAAAAAUCCAGUGGCAAGACUCUUAGAUAAUGGAAACCUCGUUAUUACGGAUAACUCCAGCAGUCAUACUACUGAAAGCUACUUGUGGCAGAGCUUCGACUACUUAACAGACACUCUGUUACCAGACAUGAAGUUGGGCUGGGACUUGAAGACUGGUCUGAAACGAUAUUUAUCAUCAUGGGAAAG